GAUCUUUCCACAUUAAGUGAAGAUGACCUGCGAAGUCUUGUGCCCUGCAUUGGUCCUCGUAACCGUAUCAAGCGACACAUUGCCAUGCUUCUCGAAUCCAGCAACAACAAUUCGAAGCAGACUGUCAACUCUAAUCCAACUAAAAUUUUACUGAGUGAAGAAGCAUCUAAUACAUUGGGUGAAAUUUUACUGGACUCUGAGGAAGCAACAGAGGAGAACGGGGAACGCAGCAAUCAAAGUGAAGGCAGUGGUGAUCAAAAUGAACGCAGUGAGCAAAGUGAUCGCAGUGGCCAAAGUGAACGCAGUGGAAGUGGAUCUCAGUCCAGAACCCAGUCUACAACCAAAGCUCGUGCUGAAGCCACCAAGCGGCCCUUGGCCGAAGCUGCUGAUAUCAAGAGAACGGUGUGAGGAGUUAGCAAAGCUAGUGGUGAAUGAGUUUCCAACUGAAUUAGUGUCUACAUGGUUCAGAAUUGAAGACAGACCAAAACAGGAUGGGACUGUAGUCAAAGGCAGGAUUAUGACAAGGUUUUACACUGUGAGGCGUACCCUCAUCACCAAUGGAAUGGUAGAUGAUGAAAAUGAUGGAGAAGAAAAUGUUGAUGACGAAAUGGACAGCCCUGAAGACAAUGAAGAGGUGGCAGAGGCUUUGGCGUGGCUCAAAAGUAAGAAUGUAUCACCUUGGACACGAGUUCUCACCGCUUGGAAAUUGACCAGCAAAUCACGCUUAGCUAAACUGCAAGCUCCAGUCAUUGUGUCAGAUGAAGGCCCUUCUAGGAAAAAUCAAAGAAAGUUGUGAAAAAACGCAAAACUGACAAUGAUAAAGUUUACACAUACACAGCUGAAUUCCCUCAAAUUUAUCAGCCAACAGGAUGGCACUUGUUGGACAUUGACUUCGAGGUAUACAAACCAGAUGCCAUACUGAAGCUUAGUGCGGAAUACCCCAAGUUGGAACGAUUUGUACUGUCUAAACUGAGGCAGUUAGACCGAGACAAUCUUUAUGAUGAUUUUGACAACAAGACUG
Molecule: RNA transcript, 1021 nt
Organism: Thrips palmi
Lineage: Eukaryota; Metazoa; Arthropoda; Insecta; Thysanoptera; Thripidae
Exons: 6
Source: RefSeq, a predicted model, not a curated record